RNAcentral lists this ribosomal RNA (459 nucleotides) under Granulicatella adiacens. Its description in RNAcentral is "bacterial SSU rRNA". It matches the Rfam family "Bacterial small subunit ribosomal RNA", at positions 28 to 476 of the family's 1533-position model. Lineage: Bacteria; Bacillati; Bacillota; Bacilli; Lactobacillales; Carnobacteriaceae. The record is from RNAcentral.
GACGAACGCUGGCGGCGUGCCUAAUACAUGCAAGUCGAACGAGAGCGACCGGUGCUUGCACUGGUCAAUCUAGUGGCGAACGGGUGAGUAACAUGUGGGUAACCUGCCCAUCAGAGGGGGAUAACAUUCGGAAACGGAUGCUAAAACCGCAUAGGUCUUCGAACCGCAUGGUUUGAAGAGGAAAAGAGGCGCAAGCUUCUGCUGAUGGAUGGACCCGCGGUGCAUUAGCUAGUUGGUGAGGUAACGGCUCACCAAGGCCGUGAUGCAUAGCCGACCUGAGAGGGUGAUCGGCCACAUUGGGACUGAGACACGGCCCAAACUCCUACGGGAGGCAGCAGUAGGGAAUCUUCCGCAAUGGACGCAAGUCUGACGGAGCAACGCCGCGUGAGUGAAGAAGGUUUUCGGAUCGUAAAACUCUGUUGUUAGAGAAGAACAAGUGCUAGAGUAACUGUUAGCGCC